Non-coding RNA from Sus scrofa (pig), 426 nucleotides. The record is from the annotation of a RefSeq genome assembly. NCBI's taxonomy places the organism in Eukaryota, Metazoa, Chordata, Mammalia, Artiodactyla, Suidae.
GGCCCACCCUGGGCAGGAGGCAGUAGUGCUCAGGAACCAGCAUGGACAUGAGGGCCCCCAUGCACCUCCUUGGCCUCCUGCUGCUCUGGUUCCAAGGUGCCAGUUGUGCCAUCCGGGUGACCCAGUCUCCAGCCUCCCUGGGUGCAUCUCUCAGAGACACAGUCUCCAUCACUUGCCGGGCCAGUCAGAGUGUUAGCAGCGAAUUAGCCUGGUAUCAACAACAACCAGGGAAGGCUCCUAAACUCUUGAUCCAUGCUGCAUCCACUUUGCAAAGUGGGGUCCCUUCCCAGUUCAGGGGCAGUGGAUCUGGCACCGAUUUCACCCUCACCAUCAGUGGCCUGCAGACUGAAGAUGUUAGAACUUAUUACUGUCAGCAGUAAUACAGUGCACCUCCCACAGAGUUACAAGCCAGCACAACCCCCCCCC